Molecule: long non-coding RNA, 1708 nt
Organism: Coturnix japonica (Japanese quail)
Lineage: Eukaryota; Metazoa; Chordata; Aves; Galliformes; Phasianidae
Source: Ensembl
AUGCCCCGGGGGCGAGCCUGGACGCAAGCGGAGGUCGGCAGCCUGCUGGCACUGGUGGGGGGCUCGGGGGAGGCCGCCCUACUGAUGGCCUCCACGUCUCGGCCCAACGAGGCUCUGUGGCAGCAGAUCUCCCGUGGGCUGGCGGCAGCCGGAUACAGCCGUAGCGUGGCCCAGUGCCGGUCUAAGUGGAAGGCACUUAAGCAAGCUUUCCAUUCGGAGAGAGAAACGCGACGCAGAGCCGGACUCCACUCUCCCCGCCUGCCUCCUCACUACCGAACCAUGAAGAGCAUCUGGAAGGCUGCCGGGAGACCGGUCUUCCGUGAGCGGCGGCUGCUGGAUCUGGGGAAGCUGCCCCCCAGGAGGCGCAGAUCGGUCCCUGCCACCCGCUCUCCAUCCUCACCAGUACCACCAGAUUCCCAGGGCACAAUGCUGUCUCCGCUGCUGUGGCGUGUGAAGGAUGAGCCAGAGAGCUCCUGCGGGGAACACAUCGCUGGAUCAGUGCCUGACCCCACAGCUGUCCUAAACACCGCUCACUGCAUCCCUCUCCUUCCCGUCCUGGGCACCCACGCUGUCCUGAAACAGGAAAGUGCUGAGCAGAAGGCGGGUUUCCCCACUGAGACAUCCCCAGGGAUGGGAGGAGGAAACAUUGCGCUGCCAGUGCCCCCUGCAGCCCCUGUCUCUCCCCGACCCAGCGAGCAGACAGCAGCGGGUGAGGAUGUGCCGGACACCAGCCUGCAAGGCUGUGGCGUGGCAGGCCUACUUCACAGCGUUCAGCAGCUGCUGGUGCAGAUUCUGCAGACAUCACGACAGCAGCAGGCGCUGCUGGAGAGCCUCGCCAGCGACACCGUCUCCCACCUCCACCUCCUCUCGCACAGCCUGGUGCAGGUGGGUGAAACCCUGCACCAACUGCUGCUCCGACCACAAGCCCCCUCCAGCCACAGUGCCCCACACAUUCCCCUUUUUGGGGGCAGCCCCCCGGUGCCACUGCUCUCUGGGCUGCCUUGUGCUUCCCCGGAUUCCAAAGAGGAGUGCCGGGUGUCUCCUGGCUCUGGCUGCGCCCUGCCAUGAGCGUGCUUGUGGCACAAAUCUUUAUAACAGGAGCUCUGGGGAUUUUAGAUGGUUUAUAGAAGACACAGAUUUUAGUAACAUUAAAAAUAGCUUUUGUAUCAGCAGAGCCAAUUGACCAAUUAUUUCCCCCCUCCACCCACCCCCUGUACUUAAGGUUUCGAGUUGAGCGGAAGGGGAACUGCACUAUUUAAAGCCUCCCAGAAACUCCCCCGGGCCAAUGCAUACCAAUGGGCCAAGCAGGGAUGCUGUGUACCACUGUUGUCUGUCAUUCUCCAACACCUGGCUCCCAGCCCAGCAGGGGCGAACCAUGAUGGGGAAGUCCAUCACCUCCAGUGGCACUCUCCCCUGUCUCACAUGCAAUGGUCCCGUGACACUGCCAGCCCCGAUGGGGGCAUUGAUAAGCCCUGCUCUGUUCCUUGAUGCAGCCACCACCUCUGGGCCCAGUGCACAGACACACAGGUCACUCAGCAUGGGGGGGGAGGUGACAUGUGACAUGGGGGUGGUGGGAGGCUGGGGGCAGUGAGAAUGCAGUGAAAUGCAGUGCAGUUAAUUGAAAUGAAAUGCAGUGAAAUGCAGCGUAGUCUAAUGGGUUUAAAUGAAAUGAAAUGCAAUAAUAAUAAAUCCAAAGCAGUGCAGUGCA